RNAcentral lists this ribosomal RNA (1428 nucleotides) under Triticum aestivum (bread wheat). RNAcentral's name for it is "partial small subunit ribosomal RNA". Lineage: Eukaryota; Viridiplantae; Streptophyta; Magnoliopsida; Poales; Poaceae. The record is from RNAcentral.
AUGGAUCCGAACAUGGCCGGGCACACCGGGGACAGCCCGUUCCUGCUCUCGCCGUCCACGGGGCGCGCCAUGACCCCCUCCGCGUCCUACGACGGGAAGCCGGCGGCGGCGGAGGCGGGGGACGCCGGGGCGGAGUUCGUGCUGGAGUCCAAGGGCACGUGGUGGCACGCGGGGUUCCACCUCACCACGGCCAUGGUGGGCCCCACGGUGCUCACGCUGCCGUACGCGCUCCGGGGCAUGGGCUGGGCGCUCGGGCUGUCGGCGCUCACCGCCGUCGCCGCCGUCACCUUCUACACCUACUACCUCAUGUCCCGCGUGCUCGACCGCUGCGAGGCCGCCGGCCGCCGCCACAUCCGCUUCCGCGAGCUCGCCGCCGACGUCCUCGGGUCCGGGUGGGUGUUCUACGCGGUGGUCACCGUGCAGACCGCCAUCAACGCCGGCAUCACCAUCGGCAGCAUCCUCAUCGCCGGCAACUGCCUCCAGAUUAUGUACGAGAGCUUGGCGCCGAAUGGUACCCUGAAGCUGUACCACUUCAUCAUCAUCGUCGCCGUCGUGUUGUCUCUCUUCUCGCAGAUGCCGUCAUUCCACUCGCUGCGGUAUAUCAACCUCGGGUCCCUGGUCCUAGCCUUCGGCUACACCAUCCUCGUCUCCGGCGCGUGCAUUCGGGCAGGUAUGAUGAGCAAUGCUCCGGUGAAAGAUUACUCGCUGAGCCCAUCAAAGUCCGGGAAGAUGUAUGACGCCUUCCUCUCCAUCUCCAUCCUCGCCACCGUGUUCGGCAACGGCAUCCUGCCCGAGAUCCAAGCCACCCUGGCGCCGCCGGCGGCAGGGAAGAUGGUGAAGGCGCUGGUGCUGUGCUACACUGUGGUCUUCUUCACCUUCUACCUAUCGGCCAUCUCCGGCUACUGGGCCUUCGGCAACAAGGUGCAGUCCAACGCGCUGCAGAGCCUGAUGCCGGACUCGGGGCCCUCUCUGGCACCGACAUGGCUCCUCGGCCUUGCCGUCGUGCUCGUCCUCCUCCAGCUCCUGGCCAUUGCGCUGGUGUACUCGCAAGUGGCCUACGAGAUCAUGGAGAAAGGGUCGGCCGACGCGGGCCACGGGAGAUUCUCAUGGCGGAACCUGGCGCCGCGGGUGGCGCUGCGGACCUUGUACGUUGCGGCGUGCGCAUUUGUGGCGGCGGCGCUGCCGUUCUUCGGUGACAUCGUGGGCGUGGUCGGCGCCUUGGGGUUCAUCCCGCUCGACUUCGUGCUCCCCGUCGUCAUGUACAACAUUGCGUUGGCCCCGCCUAAGAGGUCGGCGGUGUAUGUAAUCAACGUGGCGAUCAUGGCCUUGUUCACCGGUGUUGGGAUCAUUGGCGCCAUUGCGUCCGUGCGGAAGCUUGUGCUCGACGCCGGACAGUUCCAGCUGUUCAGUGACCAUGUCAUCAGCUGA